This 377-nucleotide ribosomal RNA is filed under the name uncultured eukaryote. RNAcentral describes it as "partial 18S ribosomal RNA". It matches the Rfam family "Eukaryotic small subunit ribosomal RNA", at positions 592 to 975 of the family's 1831-position model. The record is from RNAcentral.
CAAUAGCGUAUAUUUAAGUUGUUGCAGUUAAAAAGCUCGUAGUUGGAUUUAGGGUGGGACGCAGCGGUCUCGCAUUGCGUUUGUACUGCUGCAGCCCUCCUUCUUGCCGGGGGCGGCCUCUCGGACUUCACUGUCUGGGGGUCAGAAUCGGCGAUGUUACUUUGAGUAAAUUAGAGUGUUCAAAGCAAGCUUACGCUCUGAAUAUAAUAGCAUGGGAUAACACGACAGGACUCUGGCCUAUCGUGUUGGUCUAUAGGACCAGAGUAAUGAUUAAGAGGGACAGUCGGGGGCAUUCGUAUUCCGUUGUCAGAGGUGAAAUUCUUGGAUUUACGGAAGACGAACAUCUGCGAAAGCAUUUGCCAAGGAUGUUUNCAUUG